GACGAACCGAGCGAUCGUUGUUCGGAAUCACUGGGCUUAAAGGGCGCGUAGGCGGGCAUCCAAGUCUGUGGUGAAAUCCCGCGGCUCAACCGUGGAACUGCCUUAGAUACUGACGGCCUCGAGGGAGGUAGGGGCGAGCGGAACUGUGAGUGGAGCGGUGAAAUGCGUUGAUAUUCACAGGAACUCCGGUGGCGAAGGCGGCUCACUGGCCCGGUACUGACGCUGAGGUGCGAAAGCGUGGGGAGCAAACAGG
Molecule: ribosomal RNA, 253 nt
Filed under: uncultured bacterium
Lineage: Bacteria
Description: partial 16S ribosomal RNA
Rfam family: Bacterial small subunit ribosomal RNA
Source: RNAcentral